Molecule: non-coding RNA, 452 nt
Organism: Pelobates cultripes (western spadefoot toad)
Lineage: Eukaryota; Metazoa; Chordata; Amphibia; Anura; Pelobatidae
Source: the annotation of a GenBank genome assembly
CCACAGCAAUAAUACUCCCAGUAAUGUGUCUGAGUGUAUAACAGAGCUCCACAGCAAUAAUACUCCCAGUAAUGUGUCUGAGUGUAUAACAGAGCCCCACAGCAAUAAUACUCCCAGUAAUGUGUCUGAGUGUAUAACAGAGCCCCACAGCAAUAAUACUCCCAGUAAUGUGUCUGAGUGUAUAACAGAGCUCCACAGCAAUAAUACUCCCAGUAAUGUGUCUGAGUGUAUAACAGGCUUCACAGCAAUAAUACUCCCAGUAAUGUGUCUGAGUGUAUAACAGAGCUCCACAGCAAUAAUACUCCCAGUAAUGUGUCUGAGUGUAUAACAGAGCUCCACAGUAAUAAUACUCCCAGUAAUGUGUCUGAGUGUAUAACAGAGCCCCACAGCAAUAAUACUCCCAGUAAUGUGUCUGAGUGUAUAACAGAGGUCCACAGCAAUAAUACUCCCAG